GCCAGAUACCUUUUUAUUGAAGAUCUUGGCGCAGUUAAACAAUAAUUUGGGGAAUAAGGAAUUUUUGGAAUAAGGAAUUAAUAAAGAAGGAAUAAAGGAGAAAAAUGAAACACAACACUAUGAAAUAGAGGGGUGAGUGUGAUACUGUGAGGUCUUAUCUUGGUGAUUCCAGAAUUCUAAAAUAAAUGGAAAGAGCCUCAACUAUCAAACUGACAAUGCAACCAACUUCACCUACCUGGUGGGAGAGGUUGCAUCGAGCAUUCUCAAGCAGCAAACCUCACAGCUUCUGUGCUCAGUGAAUCCCUUCCCUUAUCGCCAGGUAGCAAGUCCUUGAUGAAAGACUUGAUUGGCUCAGCUUUAACCAGAGGCCAUUCCCUGGACCAUUCAAAGAACCAGAGGUGGGGCCAGGUAAGCUUUUUGUAGCUACUGUAGAAACACAGAUGGGAGAAGGAAUGCCAUUUGGCUGACAAGACUG
This 475-nucleotide long non-coding RNA is filed under the name Vulpes vulpes (red fox). RNAcentral's name for it is "lncRNA (ENSVVUG00000009372.1)". The record is from RNAcentral. Lineage: Eukaryota; Metazoa; Chordata; Mammalia; Carnivora; Canidae.